UGUUCUUGAGACUCGGCGAGUUGAGUCGGGGUGGCCCCGCGAUUCUUACCAGGUGGAACUCGUCGAGUUAGGGGAAUACUCGACGUGUCAAAAAGGGAAUCCUAGAGAGUUGGUGAAAACGUCUAGACUCGCCGAGUCGCCUUAGUGCACUCGCCGAGUCCGGUCAAAGUUGACCGUUGACCGUUGACCAGAGUUGACCAGUGUUGACUUCUUAGGGGUAGUCAACCUUAGUGUUAAAAAGUGUUAAUUAGAGACAUAUGAUGUUAUAGGAGGAUUAUAGCUCGGAGGAUCGAGCACAAGGGAUUUCAGGAUUCGUGAGUCAUCGAGAUACGCGAGGUGAGUCUUCUCACUAUACUUUACCUUGAGCAGGUAAUCAGAGUUAUGUGUCAGAGUAUGUGUAUGUUAUGUGUAUGCUAUGUGUUGUACUGCAUGAUGUCUAUGUGAUUUAUGCUGUGCAUGUUUAUAGAGUUGGAACCAGAAGGUUCCCAGAGUUAGAACCUGAGGGUUCACAGAGCUUGGGUGCACGGACCCAUAGAGUUAUAGCCUCGAGUGGCUAAAUUAUAUGUGAUAUGUUUGUGGUAUUUUGGGGAACUCACUAAGCUUUGUGCUUACAGUGUUAGUGUUGUUGUUUCAGGUACUAGCGAUGACCGUGGGAAGGCGCCGGCUUGAUCUGUACACACGCAUGGGAUUUUUGAUAUACAUUGAUCUUGGGAUUUUGUAUAAUGUGAAUUGAGAUUUAAACUUGAUGUUUUUAUGAAAAGUUAAUGAGAAAUGUUUUUAUAAAUUGUGAAAAAUUAUUUUGAAAUUCACGGUGUUACAAGUUGGUAUCAGAGCCUUGGUUUGAGGGAUUCGAGUACACCUUCGAGUGUAUUUGAACUCAAACUGAGGAUUUGAGAAGUAUUUUCAAAAAAAAAAGUAUAAAAGAUUUUGAAAAUGCAGAGCAGAGUUGUGUGUACGAUGAGUCCGUGCCCGAACGGUGAUUUGCCAAAAUACCCUUAUGUUAUGUGAUAUUGAUACUAAUAUGAUGUAUUCGCAUGCUAGUGUAGGCUAGGUAUUCCUGUUAGAACUAGAGUGGCCUAAUUUGUGAUGCCUUAGCCUAGGAAGAGGUGAGCUGCUAUGAGAUGCUUGAGAGUGAGUAGGUAGCAGCAAGGGGCUUAUAAGAGAUCUAUUAGAAGGAGGUCUAUGCAUGAUAGAGUACAUGGAAAUUGGGAUCUGAAGAGGAGGACUUGGGGUGCAUUCUGAUACGGUGUGGACAGUAGUAUUGGGCCCGUACUACUGGAAGCACCGGAGCGGUGUACAGCUCAAGUAAGAAUCUUUGGAAUACCAAGAAUCAAGGAGGAAAGAGUUGACGAGUGUGAGUAUGCUCGUAAGGGUUCUAAUUUAUUGUAUGUUGUAUUUCAGAGAUAGAUCAUGGUGAGGACACGCUUGAUGCCCGAGAGCAGUGGUACCAGUGAUGAGGAGAUCCGCCGGAUCAUUCAUGAGGAGGUGGCUGCGGCCAUCAGGGCAGAGAUACUAGAGAUGUUUGGGUCUAUAAAGACCACGCUGAUUGAGUCGUUUGAUGAGCGUUAUGCCGCUCUUUCUGAGGCUGCUGUUGCAGCAGCGAGGCCGCAAGGUGGUGAUGCGUUGCUGUUCCGGGAGUUCAGCAAAACAAAACCACCAGAGUUUCAUGGGACCCAAGAUCCGGUGGCAGCGAUGAGGUGGAUAUCUGAUAUUGAGGGGUGCUUCUUCACUUGCUCAUCUCCUGAGCAUUUGAAGGUCCGGUUCGCGCUGAACCAGCUUCGCUUGGGAGCGAAGGAUUGGUGGAAGUUUGUGACGGCACAUUAUAUGCCUGCUGAGCUUGCGGCAAUGACCUGGGAGAGGUUCACUGUCAUGUUCCGAGAUGCGUACGGCACAAGAGUUUCUGACCCUCAAGCAGGGUAUUGAGUCGGUUACAGCGAUCACGAGGAUGUUCCAUGAGAAGGCGAUGUUUUGCCCUGAGCACGUGUCCACUGUGCAGGCACAUAUGAGCCGUUAUUUGAGCAUUUUGAGGAGGGAUAUUUGGGAGUUCGCGGCGAACUCCUCGUACCGGACAUUUGCGGAGCUUCAGGCAAAUGCCCGGAAGAGGGAGAUUGAGCUUGAGACUCAGGCCAGGGAGGAGGCGGAGUCUCAGGGGAGGGAUCGGCGACCGGCACAGUCUCAGCCGGCAGCCAAGCGGGCCAAGCCCGCUGAUCCCAAACCAGGGAACCAGAAGGGCCGCAAUUGUGGGAAGUCCGGCAAGGGUCAUAAUGGAGUCUGCCGAGUGGGAUCUUGCUACAAAUGUGGCAAGGAGGGGCAUAUGGCCAAGGAUUGCCCCAAGGGGUUUGCAGUGUGCUUCCACUACAAUCAGACCGGACACCGGAAGGCAGAGUGUCCGCAGCUGCGAGGGUCAUCUCAGGGAGCACCUCAGGGAUCUGCCCCUUCCGCCAUCAGAGCUACAGAGAGUCGGCCAGUGAAGGNAGGCACCGAAGGCACGAGGGAGAGCCUUUCAGUUGACCGCGGAGGAGGUCCGCGUAGCGCCCGAUGUCGUGGCUGGUAUGUAUUCUUUCGUGUAUUUAUUUUGAUGUUGAGAUAUUAUGCUUAUAUUAUGUUAUGCGUAGGUACUUUUCUUGUGAAUUCUGUACCUACCUUGGUGUUAUUUUACUUGGGUGCGAGUCGGUCUUUUGUAUCUUUGGCUUUUAGUCAGCAUAUCAGUGUUAGUCGUGAGGCGUUGUGUCGGCCUCUGAGUGUUUUCAUAGCUGAUGAGAGGGUGAUAUAUGCCACGGAGGUUCUCCGAGGUUGCGUAGUUGAGAUAUUUGGUGUUGAGUUCCCGAUUGAUCUGGUUCCUAUUGCUAUGGGUGAUGUCUGUGUCAUUGUGGGCAUGGAUUGGUUGAGCAGAUUCGGUGCGGUCAUCGACUGUGAGCGACAGCUGGUGACCAUACGAGACCCUAGUGGGGGAGUUCUUUCGGUAUACGGCGAGGGUACACGUUCAGGAUCAGCGUUUUGUUCGGCCGCUAGGGCGAGGCAGUGUCUACAGCAGGGCUGUAAGGGUUUUGUGGCGUAUGUGAUGGAUACGCGGGUGGAUUCCGAGAGACCGAGGUCAGUUGAGGAGGUUCCGGUAGUGCGUGAGUUCCCGGAUGUAUUUCCCGAGGAGUUGCCGGGUGUGCCUCCUGUGAGGCAAGUGGAGUUCAGUAUCGAUUUGGUUCCGGGGGCCGCGCCUAUCGCUAAGGUGCCUUAUCGCCUUGCACCUCCAGAGAUGCAAGAGUUAUCCUCGCAGCUUCAGGAGCUGCUGGGGAAGGGGUUUAUUCGGCCGAGCAGCUCGCCGUGGGGAGCACCUAUCCUGUUCGUCAAGAAGAAGGAUGGUUCACACCGGAUGUGCAUUAAUUACCGGGAGUUAAACAAGCUGACGGUCAAGAACCGUUACCCAUUGCCGAGGAUCGACGAUUUGUUCGAUCAGUUGCAGGGAGCAUCUUGGUUUUCCAAGAUCGAUUUGAGAUCGGGAUAUCAUCAGGUGAGGGUGCGGGAUGAGGAUGUCCAAAAGACAGCGUUCAGGACUCGGCGAUUAGGAUAACACCUUAGAUGUUCAUAAUUGCAUGUAUAAUAGAGAAAACAUAGAUCCAAGGUAUUAGGAGUGUUAGAAUGCUCAAAACCCAACAAAUUGUAACAGCCCGGAUUUCCAGGUAUCUUUUAUGUUUAUGUCUUUGGUGUUUUGAGAGGGGACUCGGCGAGUUGGAGCUCAGACUCGCCGAGUAGGAUCGCGGUUCUGGACGCGGGUUCGCGCUUGGACUCGGCGAGUCCAAGGUAUGGACUCGGCGAGUCUGCGAUGUUUAGUGAAACCCUAAUUCCUCGGGUUUGGGACCUAUUUAAAGGGCCUUUAGGCCAUCAUUUGUGCUCACCAGUCGCUUGAGUGAAACCCUAGCAAGUGUGAGCGUUUGGAGCAAAGUAGGAAGCCAUUAUUGACCUUGGAGGUAUCUUUUUGCAAGGAAAAAGAAGAAUUAGCUAAGGGAAAGCAAGGGGAGCCACUUCAUGAAGGCUUGAGGUCCAGAACAUCACAUUUGAGGUAUAUUCUUCGAGCUAUUUCUGCUAUGUUGAGAUUUAUGUUGAUUUAGGGCUUAUUGAGCCCUUUUAUGAUAAGAUCUAGUGCUUCCUUGGUCCCUUGAGUGAGUUAAGUUGUAGAUCUGGACCUUUGGAGGUCCAGAGUGUCCCUUUGCCCAAGCUUUUUACGAAUCUAUAAGGGUUUGGAUUUGGGGUCCUUGUGCUUAAGGUCAAAACACCAUUUAUGAGUCAUGGGUUGUGUUAUGAGCACCAAGUUAUGGACUUUACGUGAUGAAUUAGCUUAAGAAGGCCAGAUCUAUGAGUUGUUGGAGCGGAUCUGACCUCAGAAGCAAGUUUGAGUUGGUGCAUGGCAUGGACUCACCGAGUCUGAAGAACAGACUCGGCGAGUAGCAUGAAGAUUGUCCUUGACCACUCAGUGAGUGGUCCAGCCGAGUUAUGAGUCGACUCAGUGAGUCGGGGCGAGUUAGAAGUUGACAGGUGGACUGAGACGAACUAGAACUCGCCGAGUUGUUCUUGAGACUCGGCGAGUUGAGUCUGGGUGGCCCCGCGAUUCUUACCAGGUGGAACUCGUCGAGUCUAGACGUUUUCACCAACUCUCUAGGAUUCUUAGGGGUAGUCAACCUUAGUGUUAAAAAGUGUUAAUUAGAUACAUAUGAUGUUAUAGGAGGAUUAUAGCUUGGAGGAUCGAGCACAAGGGAUUUCAGGAUUCGUGAGUCUUCUU
This 4771-nucleotide long non-coding RNA is filed under the name Lactuca sativa (garden lettuce). RNAcentral's name for it is "long non-coding RNA (LSAT_LNC003006)". Lineage: Eukaryota; Viridiplantae; Streptophyta; Magnoliopsida; Asterales; Asteraceae. The record is from RNAcentral.